CAGGUAGACGAACGGAUGAACCUCCUUGGCACUGGGACAACCGGCCGCAGCCUCCCCGCUAAGCCAACGUUCCGGCAUGAACUCCGACGGGCGGAACGAGGUCUUUUCCGGUACAACGACCAUUGCCCGAGGUCGGUGGAUACAUGCGCAUGCUCUCCUUGAUACAAGCCCUAAGGUACGGCAUAUUCUUCAUACUAUCCGGCGUGAGUGGACUGUCCUUGUUGGGCAUAAUCUUCCGCAGCUCGGCACGAAGUUUCUCCUGCUUGUCGGGGUUCUUGGCCAGACAGUACAGAAUUCCCGUCGAUCCUGAGGAGGUCUGUGGGAAAUGGGGUAAUAUCAACGGGACGGUUCAAUUGGUUGGAGCUGAACUACCGUACCGUAUCAACACCAGCGAACAAACUGUCCAUCGACAUGGUGAAAGCCGCAUUACGAUCCACCUUCAACAGUUUCUCCAGAAUGCUCAACGUGUCCUGAUCAGCGCUUGGAUUCUUUUCCAUCCUUAUUACAGCUUCAUCGAUUCGGGUAGCAAUUAAACUGGAGUUAAAACAACAGCAUUGGAGCAUUUGCAAACAUUCGCCCGGGAAUGUACUUACUGAUAAAGCUCGUCCAAUGCACGCAUCAGUCUGUAAAAGGCAGGUGUUUUCAGCUUCCGCCAUAUCGAUGGUAGUAUAUCAAGCUGAUAGAACAAGGUGACUGCCUCUUUCGUUAGCUGUGAAGUACGAGACAAGUAUCAACGAGCUGAUCCCAUUUACAUUUACACCCGAAAAGAUCUUACAUCGAUGAAAUGGGUAACUUCGGGUGUUUGGUCCUUGUCCAGCACACCAAGCCGCGAGUCCAGCACCAGCACACCCAUGGUUUCGAAUGCCCAACGGUUCAACCAUUCGUUAAAGUCAGCCGGCAACUCCUGAUUCUCAUCGCGCAGACCAUGGACACUAUUGAACGCGGAAUUAGAUUGUUAAAAGUCUCUCUUUUGGAGGUUUUCCAUCUCUUACAUUGCCAUAAACUCCCGGGCCACUGUA
Molecule: long non-coding RNA, 1019 nt
Organism: Anopheles arabiensis
Lineage: Eukaryota; Metazoa; Arthropoda; Insecta; Diptera; Culicidae
Exons: 2
Source: RefSeq, a predicted model, not a curated record